CCCUUAGAUGUUCUGGGCUGCACCCGUGCUACACUGGCAGGUUCAGCGAGCUUCAUGCCCUGAUCUGAAAGGAAUGGGAAAUCUUUUCAAAACCUGCCGUGCUUGGGAUAGAUGUUUGCAAUUAUUCAUCUUCAACGAGGACUGCCUUGUAAGCGCACGUCAUCAGCGUGCAUUGAAUACGACCCUGUAUUCUGUACACACCGCCCGUCGCUCCUACCGAUUGAAGUUUUCGGUGAGUUGACAGGAGGAUUUUUUUGAAACUGGUUCGCCAGUGGAUUUUAGAUCCAAAUGCCAACGAAUCGAUGGCUUUAGAGGAAGGAGAAGUCGUAACA
RNAcentral lists this ribosomal RNA (332 nucleotides) under uncultured eukaryote. RNAcentral's name for it is "partial 18S ribosomal RNA". It matches the Rfam family "Eukaryotic small subunit ribosomal RNA", at positions 1470 to 1796 of the family's 1831-position model. The record is from RNAcentral.